UACAGAGGGUGCAAGCGUUAAUCGGAAUUACUGGGCGUAAAGCGUGCGUAGACGGUCAUGUAAGUCGGGUGUGAAAGCCCCGGGCUCAACCUGGGAAUUGCAUUCGAGACUGCAUGGCUAGGAUGCGGAAGAGGGAAGCGGAAUUUCCGGUGUAGCGGUGAAAUGCGUAGAUAUCAGGAGGAACACCGGUGGCGAAAGCGGCUUCCUGGUCCAGCACCGACGUUCAGGCACGAAAGCGUGGGGAGCAAACAGG
Molecule: ribosomal RNA, 253 nt
Filed under: uncultured bacterium
Lineage: Bacteria
Description: partial 16S ribosomal RNA
Rfam family: Bacterial small subunit ribosomal RNA
Source: RNAcentral